ACACUCAUAGGGCUUUUCUCCAGUGUGAACUCUGAGGUGGUGAAUGAGGUUACAGCUUUGACUGAAGCACUUCCCACAAUCACUACACUCAUAUGGCUUUUCUCCAGUGUGAACUCUGUGGUGUGUAAGGAGGUUAUAGCUCUGACU
This is a long non-coding RNA of Pipistrellus kuhlii (Kuhl's pipistrelle), 147 nucleotides long. RefSeq lists it as uncharacterized. Lineage: Eukaryota; Metazoa; Chordata; Mammalia; Chiroptera; Vespertilionidae. The record is from RefSeq and is a predicted model, not a curated record. The transcript has 2 exons.